RNAcentral lists this ribosomal RNA (430 nucleotides) under uncultured bacterium. RNAcentral's name for it is "bacterial SSU rRNA". It matches the Rfam family "Bacterial small subunit ribosomal RNA", at positions 355 to 796 of the family's 1533-position model. The record is from RNAcentral.
UCGAGAAUCUUCGGCAAUGAGCGCAAGCUUGACCGAGCGACGCCGCGUGCGGGAUGAAGGCCUUCGGGUUGUAAACCGCUUUGGUCCGAGAGAAAGGGCAACUUGAUCGAUCGGAGAAACAAGGACGGGCUAAGUUCGUGCCAGCAGCCGCGGUAAGACGAACCGUCCAAACGUUAUUCGGAAUCACUGGGCUUAAAGGGCGCGUAGGCGGCCGAGCGGGUCACGGGUGAAAUCCUCCAGCUUAACUGGAGAACUGCCCUUGAUACCACUGCGGCUCGAGGAAGGAAGGGGCAAUCGGAACUGUCGGUGGAGCGGUGAAAUGCGUUGAUAUCGACAGGAACGCCGGUGGCGAAAGCGGAUUGCUGGUCCUUUUCUGACGCUGAUGCGCGAAAGCCAGGGGAGCAAACGGGAUUAGAUACCCCGGUAGUCC